AAAUUCCCACUGAUUUUUCUUUGCUUUCCAUGUCUGAGUGGAACUCCUGGUGAAUUGUAGCCAAGUUGUCUUCAGGGUUCACCGACAUGGUAAAUACUGUUGGGGAAUGGAGAAAGGGGAUGAAGUGGCUGGACAUCAGAACAGGAAACACUGGGGAAAAGAGGUACAGGAAUGUGCAGAGGCAAAUGAGGGCAGGAGAGUGUGAAAAAAUGUCAGUGUGGGUAAAAUGCUUGGUCUGUCCUCUGUCACCCACAGUCCUGAGCUCAUACCCAGAGAAUCAGAGAGUGGUUGUGGCUGGAAGGAACCUCUGGAUGUGACCUUGUCCAACCCCCUGCUCAGGCAGGUCACCUGGAGCAGGCUGCCCGUGGCAGGACCAUCCACAGUCAGGUUUUGAAUCCCUGCAAGGAUAUCUCCAAAGCAGCUCCAAAAUCCUUCAGAAGGGAGAUUUCUCCAGAGAGGCUUUGUAAGACCUGCUGGACCACAGAAAGUCCAGGAUGUGUAUCUUAGCUGAGGGAUGGAAGGGGGCAGAAUUCCUAAAUAAACAUAGCAAAAAAUGCCUGUAGGGAAGAAAGUGAGGAAAGCAGGUGUAAAUGCAGACAUCUGUUAGGUCUGGUUGUACUUUCAAAUAAGCUUCUCCUGUUAACAGGAAUUCUUAGACCUUGGAAAGUGUCUGAAACAUGCAGUUGAAUUCAGAAAUUCUUGUAUCUGCUGGAAUCAAAGGUGGGAAGCAUUAUAUUUGUUUCUUAAAUGUGCUGUAGAAACAAUAUUAAGAGAGAUGACAACUAUUCCUCUCCAAUGUCUUUUGAUAAGGUCAGCGUGAGCUUAUUCUUAAUUUGCUUCUGCUGAGGAGUAUUUUGGAGUUCUCAAAAUUUGGGUUUUAUGUGUCAUGUGUAGCCAUCACUUACCUUAAGUCAAGCAGCUGCUUUUAUAUCUUGUUUUUCUGUCUCUUGCUAGCUCUGUGCCUGGUAUGGGACAUCUUGCUGCAAUCCUCCUGCUUUGGAUGUGCCAGUUAUGUAAACAGAGAGUGGGGAUAGGUGUAGCUUCCUCUGGACUGAAAGUGGUGCUGGCAGCAGAGAAAGACUUGGGCUGAAGUAAUUUCCUUUCAUUAGAAUAAAAAUCUGAAAAUAAAAGUCUGAACUGCAUCUAGAGUAUUUCUCCUGACUGCUGAGAAGAAAAGUUUCCAAGGGCUCAAGGUUUUUUUCAGCAGCACCCAGAAGUCUGGCACCUUACCCUAGCCUUAGUUUUGUGGUUUCCUUCCUCUGGUCCCCUUGGUUAUCUGCAUUGGCACAGAGCCCGGGUUCUGCUUCCCUUCCUCCCUGCACACCUUCGUGUCCCCAGCCACUGGAUCCUGCAAAGGCAAGUCUUAAUUCUUCACACUUCAUUUUUUGUCAUUUGCAGCUUCUCAGGGGCGCCCUUUGCAGGCUGCUGUGCUCAGCCCUCGCUGCUUUGCCUUCAGCUUGGCCUGUGGUUUUUGGUUUCCUCCCUUUUUUUUGUUGUUUUUUGCUUUUAUGGCUACUCUCAAGUGCUCGAAGAGCUGCUGACAGCCCAUGGAAAACUCAGCAAACAUUCCAUACAGACCACUUGCUUUACCAUCCUUUCCUGUGCCACGUUCAUUUUUACUGGGGAUGGCUGAGAAAGCAGGACUUUUGGGCUUUGACUGAUCUGCUUGUGCUGCUUUCAGACAACAUGCAGGUCUGGACCUACCUGCUCUUGCUGGGGCAGCAUUUCUGCUGCAUCUCACCCAGCCUUUUAGUUGGAUGACUGCUUCCAUUGGUUCCUCACCAAGAACUUGCUAUUCAAUCAGCUGUACAAGCCAAGCCCAACUGCUUCCAGCUUUCCCUGGUUCUCUUUCUCACCCCAGCUUAUCUAGACAGCUAAUCCCUGUCUUUAAAUUCAGCUGCUUCGUUUUUAUGGUUCCCACUGGCUAUUUGUUCCUUUUAUCCCUUGUUUUGAGAGGUCUGGCAGCAAAGCCUCAGAUGUUUCAUCACUCAGAUGAUUGAGGAUUUUGCCUGAUAGGUAAACAGUGAUUUUGUAGGGAGGUGAGGGGCAUCUUCUUACAUGAGCAUUGCUUGGUACUUGCCCAGCUCCACCUCUAGGUAGUGUUAAGCACUUUACUGCAAACCACAGUUAAAGGCAUUUUGCAGUUCAGAAAAAGGUGACCUAAAAAGUUGCCCCUGCCCUAUGUCAGGCUACCUUGUGUGACAAGCCAGAAGAGGGGGCUUCUUUCCUUCUUCAGGAGUUUCAGAACUCAUCUUUCAUUAGGAAGUUUUGCUAAGUUCUCUUUAGCUGCAGUUGUCACAAGCAGCUCAGUGUGGCCUCAGGCAAAGACAGCAUGUGAACAACAGAGCCAACUUUUUAGAUCCUUCCAAAUACUCUGGGAGGUCAUUUUCAAGAGCUUGCUCAGCAUCUGUGUUGAGUAGGGUGAGGUCAGCAAUCUGGAAGUUUUGGAAAUCUUGCCCCUGAUUUCCUGGAACCACACCAGGUGCAGGUACUUGUGGAUGCUUGAUUUGGCCACACAGCUGUGAAUCCCCGAAGUACCUUGCUUUAAGGUGCAGAGAUGUCCCUUUAUGUCACUUCAUGUUAGCACAAAAAUAGCCUGAAGCACAAGAAGGCAGUGCAAAGGUGCACU
Molecule: long non-coding RNA, 2629 nt
Organism: Parus major (Great Tit)
Lineage: Eukaryota; Metazoa; Chordata; Aves; Passeriformes; Paridae
Exons: 3
Source: RefSeq, a predicted model, not a curated record